Molecule: ribosomal RNA, 548 nt
Filed under: uncultured bacterium
Lineage: Bacteria
Description: bacterial SSU rRNA
Rfam family: Bacterial small subunit ribosomal RNA
Source: RNAcentral
UGGGGAAUUUUGGACAAUGGGCGAAAGCCUGNUCCAGCCAUGCCGCGUGUCUGAAGAAGGCCUUCGGGUUGUAAAGGACUUUUGUCAGGGAGGAAAUCCCCAGCGCUAAUACCGCUGGGGGAUGACAGUACCUGAAGAAUAAGCACCGGCUAACUACGUGCCAGCAGCCGCGGUAAUACGUAGGGUGCGAGCGUUAAUCGGAAUUACUGGGCGUAAAGCGUGCGCAGGCGGUUUGAUAAGCCAGAUGUGAAAUCCCCGAGCUCAACUUGGGAACUGCGUUUGGAACUGUCAGACUAGAGUGCGUCAGAGGGGGGUGGAAUUCCGCGUGUAGCAGUGAAAUGCGUAGAGAUGCGGAGGAACACCGAUGGCGAAGGCAGCCCCCUGGGAUGACACUGACGCUCAUGCACGAAAGCGUGGGGAGCAAACAGGAUUAGAUACCCUGGUAGUCCACGCCCUAAACGAUGUCAAUUAGCUGUUGGGGGUUAGAAUCCCUGGUAGCGUAGCUAACGCGUGAAAUUGACCGCCUGGGGAGUACGGCCGCAAGGUUA